GCUCAGACCGGUCGGAAAUCGGUCGUAGAGUAUAAAGGCAAAAGCGCGCUUGACUGCGAGACAGACACGUCGAGCAGGUACGAAAGUAGGUCUUAGUGAUCCGGUGGUUCUGUAUGGAAGGGCCAUCGCUCAACGGAUAAAAGGUACUCCGGGGAUAACAGGCUGAUACCGCCCAAGAGUUCAUAUCGACGGCGGUGUUUGGCACCUCGAUGUCGGCUCAUCACAUCCUGGGGCUGAAGCCGGUCCCAAGGGUAUGGCUGUUCGCCAUUUAAAGUGGUACGCGAGCUGGGUUUAGAACGUCGUGAGACAGUUCGGUCCCUAUCUG
RNAcentral lists this ribosomal RNA (325 nucleotides) under Pseudomonas aeruginosa. RNAcentral describes it as "bacterial LSU rRNA". It matches the Rfam family "Bacterial large subunit ribosomal RNA", at positions 2320 to 2644 of the family's 2925-position model. The record is from RNAcentral. Lineage: Bacteria; Pseudomonadati; Pseudomonadota; Gammaproteobacteria; Pseudomonadales; Pseudomonadaceae.